UACGUAGGGAGCAAGCGUUAUCCGGAUUUAUUGGGUGUAAAGGGUGCGUAGGCGGACUGUCAAGUCAGCGGUAAAAUACGGGCUUAACUUGUAGACUGCAGUUGAAACUGGUUUUCUUGAGUGAAGUAGAGGUUGGCGGAAUUCCGAGUGUAGCGGUGAAAUGCGUAGAUAUUCGGAGGAACACCGGUGGCGAAGGCGGCCAACUGGGCUUUAACUGACGCUGAGGCUCGAAAGUGUGGGGAGCAAACAGG
Molecule: ribosomal RNA, 251 nt
Filed under: uncultured bacterium
Lineage: Bacteria
Description: partial 16S ribosomal RNA
Rfam family: Bacterial small subunit ribosomal RNA
Source: RNAcentral